CUUACACAUGCAAGUCGAACGGCAGCACGGGGGCAACCCUGGUGGCGAGUGGCGAACGGGUGAGUAAUACAUCGGAACGUGUCCUGUAGUGGGGGAUAGCCCGGCGAAAGCCGGAUUAAUACCGCAUACGCUCGAGAGAGGAAAGUGGGGGAUCUUCGGACCUCACGCUAAAGGGGCGGCCGAUGGCAGAUCAGCUAGUUGGUGGGGUAACGGCCUACCAAGGCCACCAUCUGUAGCUGCUCUGACAGGACGACCACCCCACUGCGACUGAGACACCCGCCACACUACUACGCCAGGCAUCACCUGGGGAAUUCUCCUCAAUGGGGGCAACCCUGACCCA
RNAcentral lists this ribosomal RNA (340 nucleotides) under uncultured bacterium. Its description in RNAcentral is "bacterial SSU rRNA". It matches the Rfam family "Bacterial small subunit ribosomal RNA", at positions 48 to 390 of the family's 1533-position model. The record is from RNAcentral.